GACUGCAGUGCAGCUGGAUUUGAAGGGCUGGUGGAAGCUGUGAGUGCAGCUGGAAGAUGAAUAGCGUCCCAGGCUGCUUGAGGAUGGCAGAGCAACAUGUUACUGACCAGUACUGCUUAUUUUCCAAUUGCUCAGUGGCAAUCCCCUGCCUGGAACAGAUGCUGAAACCCGCCUAAAGCCAGCAGGAUGACACAUUUCUGAACUCCAUGGAUCAGGAAGAAGAGCACAUUCUUUUCUCAGUUAUUUAGUGUUGAUGAAGUUCCUGUGCAUCAGCUGCACCUCAUCUUCCAGAAGGAAUGCAAUUCUGAUCCA
Molecule: long non-coding RNA, 312 nt
Organism: Nothoprocta perdicaria
Lineage: Eukaryota; Metazoa; Chordata; Aves; Tinamiformes; Tinamidae
Exons: 3
Source: RefSeq, a predicted model, not a curated record